GAUGAACGCUGGCGGCGUGCCUAAUACAUGCAAGUCGAGCGAACAGACGAGGAGCUUGCUCCUCUGACGUUAGCGGCGGACGGGUGAGUAACACGUGGAUAACCUACCUAUAAGACUGGGAUAACUUCGGGAAACCGGAGCUAAUACCGGAUAAUAUAUUGAACCGCAUGGUUCAAUAGUGAAAGACGGUUUUGCUGUCACUUAUAGAUGGAUCCGCGCCGCAUUAGCUAGUUGGUAAGGUAACGGCUUACCAAGGCAACGAUGCGUAGCCGACCUGAGAGGGUGAUCGGCCCCACUGGAACUGAGACCCGGCCAAGCCCCCUACGGGAGGCAGCAGUAGGGAAUCUUCCGCAAGGGGGGAAAGCCUGACGGAGCAACGCCGGGUGAGUGAUGAAGGUUUUCGGAUCGUAAAACUCUUUUCCUGGGGAAGAACAAAUGUGUAAGUAACUAUGCACGUUUUGACGGUACCUAAUCAGAAAGCCACGGCUAACUACGU
Molecule: ribosomal RNA, 496 nt
Filed under: uncultured bacterium
Lineage: Bacteria
Description: partial 16S ribosomal RNA
Rfam family: Bacterial small subunit ribosomal RNA
Source: RNAcentral